RNAcentral lists this ribosomal RNA (518 nucleotides) under Leuconostoc lactis. RNAcentral's name for it is "bacterial SSU rRNA". It matches the Rfam family "Bacterial small subunit ribosomal RNA", at positions 47 to 552 of the family's 1533-position model. The record is from RNAcentral. Lineage: Bacteria; Bacillati; Bacillota; Bacilli; Lactobacillales; Lactobacillaceae.
GUCACAUCAUGCAGUCGACGGCACCGAUGGAGCUUGCAACUUUGAUGCGAGUGGCCAACGGGUGAGUAUCAUACAGGAUAACCUGCCUUGGGCUGGGGAUAACAUUUGGAAACAAAUGCUAAUACCGAAUAAAACUUAGAAUCUGAUGAUGCAAGACUGAAAGGCCCCACGGCGUCGCCUAGAGAUAGGUCCGCGUAGCUUUAUUUAGUUGGUGGGGUAAAGGCCUACCACGACAAUGAUGCGGACCCAAAUUAAGAGACUGAUCACUGGCAUUGAGACUGAGACACGACUCAAACUCCUACGGGAGGCUGCAAAAUUUAAUCUUCCACAAUGGGCGAAAUCCUGAUGGAGCAACGCCGCGUGUGUGAUGAAGGCUUUAGGGUCGCUUUUGCUGUUGUAUGGGAACAAAUGCUAAAAUAAGGAAUGAUUGACGUUCCACGGUACCAUACCCAAAAGGGACGGCUCAAUCCGUGCCAGCCGCCGCGGUAACACAUAUGUCCCAAUCGUUAUACGGAUUU